CCUACGGGAGGCAGCAGUGGGGAAUAUUGGGCAAUGGGCGCAAGCCUGACCCAGCAACGCCGCGUGAAGGAAGAAGGCUUUCGGGUUGUAAACUUCUGUUAUUAAGGACGAAACAAAUGACGGUACCCAAUGAAUAAGCCACGGCUAACUACGUGCCAGCCGCCGCGGGAAUACGUGGGGGGCAAGCGUUAUCCGGAGUUACUGGGUGUAAAGGGCGUGUAGGCGGGACUGCAAGUCAGAUGUGAACACCCUGGGCUCAACCCAUGGACUGCAUUUGAAACUGGAGUUCUUGAGUGGAGGAGAGGUAAGCGGAAUUCCGGGUGUAGCGGUGAAAUGCGUAGAUAUAGGGAGGAACACCAGAGGCGAAGGCGACUUGCUGGACAGUAACUGACGCUGAGGCGCGAAAGCGUGGGGAGCAAACAGGAUUAGAUACCCUUGUAGUC
RNAcentral lists this ribosomal RNA (443 nucleotides) under uncultured bacterium. RNAcentral's name for it is "partial 16S ribosomal RNA". It matches the Rfam family "Bacterial small subunit ribosomal RNA", at positions 338 to 795 of the family's 1533-position model. The record is from RNAcentral.